CGGAGGAAAAGAAACCAACAGGGAUUGCCCUAGUAACGGCGAGUGAAGCGGCAACAGCUCAAAUUUGAAAUCUGGCCCUUGGGUCCGAAUUGUAAUUUGUAGAGGAUGAUUUUGGUGCGGUACCUUCCGAGUUCCUUGGAACAGGACGCCUUAGAGGGUGAGAGCCCCGUACGGUUGGAUACCUAGCCUCUGUAAAUCUCCUUCGACGAGUCGAGUAGUUUGGGAAUGCUGCUCUAAAUGGGAGGUAAAUUUCUUCUAAAGCUAAAUACUGGCCAGAGACCGAUAGCGCACAAGUAGAGUGAUCGAAAGAUGAAAAGCACUUUGAAAAGAGGGUUAAAUAGCACGUGAAAUUGUUGAAAGGGAAGGAUUUAUGACCAGACUUUUUCUGGGCAGAUCAUCCGGUGUUCUCACCGGUGCACUUUGCCCAGUUUAGGCCAGCAUCGAUUUCCGGAGGGGGAUAAAAGCUUUAGGAAUGUGGCUCCCUCGGGAGUGUUAUAGCCUAUUGUAUAAUACCUUUCUGGGGAUCGAGGUACGCGCUUCUGCAAGGAUGCUGGCGUAAUGGUUAUCAAUCACCCGUCUUGAAACACGGACCAAGGAGUCGAACAUUUGUGCGAGUGUUUGGGUGUUAAACCCUCACGCGUAAUGAAAGUGAACGGAGGUAAGAGCCCUUACGGGUGCAUUAUCGACCGAUCCUGAAGUUUUCGGAUGGAUUUGAGUAGGAGCAUAAAUGUUCGGACCCGAAAGAUGGUGAACUAUGCGUGGAUAGGGUGAAGCCAGAGGAAACUCUGGUGGAGGCUCGCAGCGGUUCUGACGUGCAAAUCGAUCGUCAAAUCUGCGCAUGGGGGCGAAAGACUAAUCGAACCAUCUA
Molecule: ribosomal RNA, 868 nt
Filed under: Monochaetia lithocarpi
Lineage: Eukaryota; Fungi; Ascomycota; Sordariomycetes; Amphisphaeriales; Sporocadaceae
Description: Monochaetia sp. NJ-2021b partial large subunit ribosomal RNA
Rfam family: Eukaryotic large subunit ribosomal RNA
Source: RNAcentral